GCAAUUAGUGGUUCUCUCUGAAUAGUCAUGAAAUUCAAGAAUAAGGUUAAGAAUUUACCACAAAAGCAAAUUAACUGGUUUUAACUACCAAAUAUAUUAGAAGCCACAAGAACCUAGAACAUGUACCUAAAGCAAAUAUACUAAGAACUUGCAUGCAUAUACACGCACAGAUACACAUGCAUGCAAAUGCACAUCAUCCUAAGAAAUGUAAGUUGCAUAAAACUGGGGCAACAGAAAGAUCUAAAUGAUAAUGUUUAUAAUUUGAGAAAAACAACAAGGCUUCCCCAGGUCGAGUUUUAUAUGCAAUAUACUGCUAAUAUACAGUGUUCUCAAAACCAGACCAUACCAGGCCAUUGAAAUGGUUAAACCAGGAAAAAGAACCAAUUUGAUCCAGU
RNAcentral lists this unclassified non-coding RNA (395 nucleotides) under Hevea brasiliensis (rubber tree). The record is from RNAcentral. Lineage: Eukaryota; Viridiplantae; Streptophyta; Magnoliopsida; Malpighiales; Euphorbiaceae.